GUGGAUUAGAUACCCUGGUAGUCCACGCUGUAAACGAUGAAUACUAGGUGUGGGAGGACUGACCCCUUCCGUGCCGCAGUUAACACAAUAAGUAUUCCACCUGGGGAGUACGACCGCAAGGUUGAAACUCAAAGGAAUUGACGGGGGCCCGCACAAGCGGUGGAUUAUGUGGUUUAAUUCGACGCAACGCGAAGAACCUUACCAGGGCUUGACAUCCAACUAACGAAGCAGAGAUGCAUUAGGUGCCCUUCGGGGAAAGUUGAGACAGGUGGUGCACGGUCGUCGACAGCU
This 291-nucleotide ribosomal RNA is filed under the name uncultured bacterium. RNAcentral's name for it is "partial 16S ribosomal RNA". It matches the Rfam family "Bacterial small subunit ribosomal RNA", at positions 773 to 1060 of the family's 1533-position model. The record is from RNAcentral.